GACGAACGCUGGCGGCGUGCCUAACACAUGCAAGUCGAACGGGGUUAAGUGCUUCGGUAUUUAACUUAGUGGCGAACGGGUGAGUAACGCGUGAGGAACCUGCCUUUCAGUGGGGGACAACAGUUGGAAACGACUGCUAAUACCGCAUGAUACUUUUUGGAGGCAUCUCUGAAAAGUCAAAGAUUUAUUGCUGAAAGAUGGCCUCGCGUCUGAUUAGCUAGUUGGCGGGGUAACGGCCCACCAAGGCGACGAUCAGUAGCCGGUCUGAGAGGAUGAACGGCCACAUUGGGACUGAGAUACGGCCCAGACUCCUACGGGAGGCAGCAGUGGGGAAUAUUGGGCAAUGGGCGAAAGCCUGACCCAGCAACGCCGCGUGAAGGAAGAAGGCCUUCGGGUUGUAAACUUCUUUUACCAGGGACGAAGGACGUGACGGUACCUGGAGAAAAAGCAACGGCUAACUACGUG
RNAcentral lists this ribosomal RNA (465 nucleotides) under uncultured bacterium. Its description in RNAcentral is "bacterial SSU rRNA". It matches the Rfam family "Bacterial small subunit ribosomal RNA", at positions 28 to 507 of the family's 1533-position model. The record is from RNAcentral.